This 360-nucleotide long non-coding RNA is filed under the name Panax ginseng (ginseng). RNAcentral's name for it is "long non-coding RNA (PGIN_LNC014202)". The record is from RNAcentral. Lineage: Eukaryota; Viridiplantae; Streptophyta; Magnoliopsida; Apiales; Araliaceae.
UCGACUAUGGAUAGAAUUCCGGAGAGCUCUUUCUUGCCACCGAAUAAAACAUCGGGAGGAACUGAAGUGAGGGGAGAUUGGUCGGAUGAAGAAGAGCAGCAGACUGUGGAGAUUUUUAUUCGGUAUCUGCAUCUGUGCCAGUGAUGAUGGUGAUGUUUUGUAGAGAGAGAGGUGUGGGGAUUUGGUGAUAAUGUUGUGAUACGGUAAGGGGUUCGAGGGUUGAGGAAUGGAGAGAAGAAGAAGGUAGUUGGGUGCGGAGAAGAAGGGUGAGUGAUGAGAAUUGAGGGGCUCAUGGUGUUUUAUUUCUUAAAUGCUCCUCCUCUGUGAUUGUUGCUUUAGGGAUACAGAAGAAACGGUACG